CUCUUUAGUGUUUUGUUCCAAGGAAACCUCAGAGUGUUUUCAGCUUUCACCAAUUCUCCUCCUCCUCUUUUUUUCUUUACUGAAAUUUCAGAAUUUAUAACUUGAUUGUGGGCUCAAAUGAGAGAGGUCCAAGUCCAAGAUUUUUCUGUUAUAUUUUUUUUUCUCUUUUUUGUUUUUUUUUUCGUUUUUUUUUCCGUUUUU
This 201-nucleotide long non-coding RNA is filed under the name Lathyrus oleraceus (garden pea). RNAcentral describes it as "Pisum sativum (pea) long non-coding RNA (PSAT_LNC040894)". The record is from RNAcentral. Lineage: Eukaryota; Viridiplantae; Streptophyta; Magnoliopsida; Fabales; Fabaceae.